CUGGCUGAGGUCACAGUGCCUGCUAAGAUUUCCUUGGUGAUGCAAUUCUGCCCUCCCUGGUGGGGUGUCAGCACCAACCAAUUUCUUACCGUAUAUGUGACUGAAGUCAUAGACCAUGCCAGGAUUGUCUUGGUAACGUAGCCCUUCCCUAUCGGCAUAGGAUCUAAUAAAAUUCAGGAACGCUAUCUUCCCUAUAUUCCUUCCCAAGGGAUCACUAAAAUCUUGUAGUUCUUAGUGAGGACAUUUUCAACGCUAUCAUUUCCUUGCCCUUUAGAAUAGGAUUGGGUAGGGGUGGAUAAGAGAUUGAGAGAAGAAGACAUGGAUUGUUGGAAUCCUGGGACUUCUACUUUUCUAGUCAAAAAGGGGUAGCCACUAAAGGCAAAAAAAAAAUGUAGAUACAUGGAUUAGUCAUAAGACCAGGUCAAAGAUUUAAUAAAAGAUGACCCUGCAAUCAAGUAAAUACAUAUAAAUGUCCCCUCCCCCAUCCCCUUCCCUCCUUUAUCUCCUUCCUCCCUUAAGUGCAAAAAAAAAAAAAGAAAGAAAGAAAUUAUUUUCUUAUUAAUAUAAUAGAUUUCCCUAGUUAUCUAGUUAUGUAGGUUACCUAGGACUUUUUCAGUGACCCAAAGUUUCUACCUAAAACAAAAGUUCAUCGUUUAAAUACCAAAUGUUUCCAGACAUGUUAUAUGCUCUAGAAUAGAUCAUGGAAUACCACAGCCUUUGAAGAAUAAAUGUUGAAGGUCAUCCAAAGGGCAAUGGAGAAUACAUGGUGGGGAUGAUUAGGUUAUAACAUUUUGCCCACAAAGAUUACAAAGAAGUAGCAUUAAAGAUAUCAUCAAAGAUAUGAGACUGUUAUGUAGUAAAAGUGAGGAAUAAUAUGACGAAUGUUAAAUCCACAGCAUAUUUGAUAGAUCUCCUGGGUAUGGGAAGACAUGAAAGAGAACUGCACAGGAAAAGGAGUCAUUAAUGGCGUGAAACCGGCACUGUCGCAGGGAGCAGCCACAUUGACAUGGGAUCAUAGAUCCACUGACAUAUUGAGGACCAAGGGUCAGCAUCGCAUAGAACACCUCAAUGCUUCCCUUGGUCAGUGACUCGACCAAAAGGGGAGAAUGUGGCAUGCAGUCAACAGAAGAGACUACCUGACCCAGACCCCACUGACCCCAUAGUUGGAACAGAUUUAAACUAGUUGGAGCCAGUCUGGUGAUAGCUAUCUCUGGAACUCACUGUUGCUACCCCUGGAGCAUGAUGUUCUGACCAGAGUCACAACUCCCAAAGCCUUUCCAGCUUCUCUAUGGACUUUCUGUUAUUAUGCAAAACAACUUAUGUAACAGAUUCACCAAGCUGUGCCUUCCACGAGAUUCCCUCCCUGUUGAAGUGUAUUUAAACCCUGCCUCUUCUGCCCCUCCUGGGCCUUCUAAAUACUUUGGUGCUAUGUGGUAUCUUUUCCUUGAUUAAAGACCUUUGUUAUCGCUCCUUUCAUAGUCCUCUUUAUUUCAGGUUGACAACCCAAAUUAUUUUGUCUAUAAAGUGAGGGUUUGAAUUAGAAGAUCUCUAAGGCUUCUUCCUACUGUAACACACUAAAAUUCUAUUCUAAGACUCUUUUCAUUUUCUCUUUAAAAAAAAUUAUUCUCCAGAAGCCAGAAAAUCCCUUAUGAUAAGGGAGGAAGAUGGUAAAAUUGUAAAGAUCUUUUUGUUUUGUUUUGUUUUAUUUUUAAACCACU
Molecule: long non-coding RNA, 1718 nt
Organism: Phascolarctos cinereus (koala)
Lineage: Eukaryota; Metazoa; Chordata; Mammalia; Diprotodontia; Phascolarctidae
Source: Ensembl